UGGCAGUGGAGGGGCAGUGUGACACAAUGGCAUCUGACGUGGAAGUGCACAGAAAGCAAAGAUCCGGUGAGAGCUGAGGCCAAGCAUGAACCUAUCCUGAAUUUAUCUCAAGUGCACUUCAGAUGCAGCGCAUGAUUGGAUCCCACCUGGUGUACUUGAAGAGCAGUCAUCCUUGAAAGAUAAACUCCUGACUUUUUUUCUUCCUUCUGAAAGCACGGAAAUGUUCAGUUCUGUUCUGCUCCUUUUUCUUGCCACUGAAGCAGUGUUUGUUGCCUCUAUAAAAUGGAACCAAACAAGAUGAUUAAAUGAUUCAUCAAAAAGAAAAA
Molecule: long non-coding RNA, 326 nt
Organism: Gallus gallus (chicken)
Lineage: Eukaryota; Metazoa; Chordata; Aves; Galliformes; Phasianidae
Exons: 2
Source: RefSeq, a predicted model, not a curated record